UUGAUCCUGGCUCAGGACGAACGCUGGCGGCGUGCUUAACACAUGCAAGUCGAACGAUGAAGCCUUUCGGGGUGGAUUAGUGGCGAACGGGUGAGUAACACGUGGGCAAUCUGCCCUGCACUCUGGGACAAGCCCUGGAAACGGGGUCUAAUACCGGAUACGACACAUCACUGCAUGGUGAAUGUGUGGAAAGCUCCGGCGGUGCAGGAUGAGCCCGCGGCCUAUCAGCUUGUUGGUGGGGUAAUGGCCUACCAAGGCGACGACGGGUAGCCGGCCUGAGAGGGCGACCGGCCACACUGGGACUGAGACACGGCCCAGACUCCUACGGGAGGCAGCAGUGGGGAAUAUUGCACAAUGGGCGAAAGCCUGAUGCAGCGACGCCGCGUGAGGGAUGACGGCCUUCGGGUUGUAAACCUCUUUCAGCAGGGAAGAAGCG
RNAcentral lists this ribosomal RNA (436 nucleotides) under Streptomyces sparsus. RNAcentral describes it as "bacterial SSU rRNA". It matches the Rfam family "Bacterial small subunit ribosomal RNA", at positions 13 to 452 of the family's 1533-position model. Lineage: Bacteria; Bacillati; Actinomycetota; Actinomycetes; Kitasatosporales; Streptomycetaceae. The record is from RNAcentral.